AUGGCCAUUUUUGAUAAGUUCUAUGUUGGAGCCAUCGAUCUUGGGCGCCUCAACUAUGGGAUCAUCUCGUUGAUCCCGAAAGUUCCGAGCGCCUCCGAUAUUCGCCAGUUCCGUCCUAUCACGGUCAUCAACGUGAUCUUUCGGAUUCUGGCAAAAGGGUACGCCAAUAGGGUGACCCUCCUCGCCGACCAGAUUACCCACCCCAACCAGUCUGCCUUCAUUAAAGGGCGGUACAUCCUGGAUGGGGUGCUAGUUCUCCAUGAAGUCCUCCAUGAGGUGCGGUCUAAACACCUCAAGGGGGUUUUCUUGAAGAUUGAUUUCCAUAAGGCCUACGACACGGUUAGUUGGCCCUUCCAUCAGGAAGUUUUG
Molecule: ribosomal RNA, 369 nt
Filed under: Triticum aestivum (bread wheat)
Lineage: Eukaryota; Viridiplantae; Streptophyta; Magnoliopsida; Poales; Poaceae
Description: partial small subunit ribosomal RNA
Source: RNAcentral